GGGUUGCAGCAGUUACCGCCUUCACUCGAACAGACGGAUACUAGGCUGCCCCUUCGUGCAUUAUCGACUCUGCUACUACAUUCUAUCGCGAGCAAGAAAACCUCCUUUCUUGAUGCCCAAACAGAGAAGAGACUGAGAGGUUGAGAGAAUAUAUAUUUUACAUAAUGACAAUGUUUGCAGAUGAGAAUGGGCUGCCAGGAGACCCUACAGUAAAGGCCAUAUCUAUUGCUAUCAGAUUCAUCCCUCACUUCCCGAAAUCAGAUUUGAUAGCUUUAAGGCGCAAGGAAAAUGAUCUAAAAAUAUUUGGAGGGUGCUAAUACUACUGAGAUAAAAGCAGCAGCUAUACCAUGAAGUACCGGAGAAAAGUUGUAUAUCGGAUUCAUAUGCUCUUGAGUGGGGAACUGACCAUCUGGAGAUGCAUGUCAAUGCCAUGCAACCUAGAAAGCGUAUGAUCUUUUGCCACUAGAAGGAUCGUCUUGCCGGGAGGCUUCUAGGUCCUCGACUCUUUUUCCACCUCCUGCUAUUUUAAAUGCGAUGGAUGCAGGAGAGCUACUCUUUGCCAAUCUCCACUGCGUGUUUGUGGCUCCAGGUGCUGCUUCCACCUUCUUUCUCACAGUCGUCCCCUUUAGGGCACAAAAUUUUCAAUUCCACACAAAGUUUGUUAUUAUUAUAUCUCUUUUAUAUGUGAGUAGGACAUAUCAUUCAUAUGUAGGUUAUAUCUUCUCACGGUCUCACUUUCUAGGUAUAUUGUGCAAAGUAUAGAUUUAGGCAAGACGCUGAGGCACUUAUAUGGAUUAUUAUAUACCAGUUAGAGAUUCUUUUACAUGUCUAAUAAUUACUCGAGGAUGAAAAUUUAGAGUGCAUUGUCCUACCCAACAUGUUGAAUUUUCUUUAAUUAGAUCAAAUCUGCAUCUUGCCUUGAUUGGUUAAUAUCGGCUUGAUAAUUUAAGUUAAAUUGAACUCCGUUUCCAAACGGAGCAUAUAUAUCUUUUACGAUCUAAAGCAUGAAAAGCUUAUAAAAUAAAUGUAAAAAACAUUGAAGAAGACUCUGUUUUCAUUGAUAGACAUAUUUCAGGAGAUACAAUAUCAAAUGAGACAUUUUCUUUUUCUCUCUUCUUUUCUUUAUUUGAUCUAUAAUUUUUUAUUAUAUUAAUCAAGAUGCAUGUGUUUUUUGGUCGAUUAUGAGGAAGCUCAUGUAUCCGGUGGUUGAAGAUGUGUAUUUAUUCUUCUAUAGAUUAUAGAUUAUAGAUAACAUAUCUUGAUUUAAAAGACGUUAUUUAGGAAUUUGUCUACAGGUACAUGAUGUGUCCGCAUGCCUUCCCCAUUUUAAGCCAUAUAAAACAUUAGAAAGAAAAUACUGUAAAAGACAAAGAAGUUCAAGAACUCAGGAUGGAAAAAGCCUUUUAUACUGUAAUGUGCACUUUUUAAUGCAUGACAAAUUGAUGUUUUGACUUUGAUCAGUGCCUCCAAGAGGUAAAUCAUCUUUGUUAGAUUGGUCCUUGUAGGAUUAUUUGGCAAGGCAACGCAAUUUGCCAUUGUCAUAGUAGAGUUCAAAUACAAAGGUGCUCGCCCGAAUUGACCUCGGAAGCUGAAGGAAUCAAAUUCUAAAGGCAAUAGAAUAUCUUCUGCAACGCUAUGCUGCUUCUAUAUAUAUUUAUUGUUCUUAUUUAUUUGUGUGUAUAUAUAUGUAUAAUUUUUUGCCAUUUAAGGUGAACAUCCAUAUUGACUGAACCUUUUUUCUUUCGUUACAUUCUUGUGAAUCGUGUAUUUUACUUUCCUCUAAAUGGUGUUCAUGGCUUCUUGCAAUGCAGUAAGUCCCAAGAAUGUGCCUUAUCAAAGCGAAAAAAAGAACAAGUAACUUCACAGAGAGAUUGUGGACCUGCUUCCUUGCAUACCGGCAGAAAUUUAAAGACAAUGUAGAAUCUCGACAAAGUAAUUGAUUACAAAAUUUUGCAGAAUUGUGAUUUGAGGUGUCAAUACUUUAGAUGUGUUUGUUUGAGUGUUGAUCAUCCUUUCACCCUCAUAAAUGAUAUCUGAAAUCUUCUCAAAGUUUCCAUUGUGGUGGCAAAUGGAUCUUUAUUUUAUAUCUAAUGGCAUCUCCAGUCAGCUUUUAAUUUUCUACCAAUUAUUUGGUGGUUCUUUUAGCUUAUCUUUUUGGAUCUUAUGUAAGUAAAAGAGCCUUCUCCUAAGCUUUCCGUUUACGUUUGAUAAUUCUCUUGAUAAAUGAUGUGUUUUUAUUUUCUCUUUAUUUAUUAUGCUAUGCGGGUUACAAGUUCUACGUACUUUCUGGACUUGAUAUAAUAGGUCAACAGGUUGGUGCAUGUGUACUCCGUCUUCAUUUCUCUAAACUAAUACAAGAAAAAGUAUUCCUCUUUAAAAAUCUGUGCAUUGUAACAUCUGAAGUUAUGGAACUCCAAAAGCUCUUUUGAGAUUGAUAGCUUUACUGUCUCAUGUUUCUGAUAUUCUUUACUAAAGAGGAUGAAUUAAAAUCGAUUUCCUCUAACUUAACUCUCCUCUUUCUUCAUCAUUCCAGUUUUUCUUUCUUUUGUCAACGAAAUUUUUUCUAUAAUAUCAUUUUAUGAGAAUUAUUAUUAUUUUUAUAAGAUGGUGACUAACAAGUAUCUCCGCGUCUCAUGUACUAUUCGGAUUCGAGGAGCUGACGGAGAUCAUCGAGGAUGGGUUCGAGGAGCAAGCGGCAAUGGCAAAUUUGACACCGGAAGAGCAGAAGACAUUAAAGGAUAACCGUAAGAAAAUAUCAUAAGGCUCUCUUUUACAUCUUUCAAGCGGUGGACUCUUCUAUUUUCGAGAAGAUGGCAAAUGCGAAGACAGCAAAGGAGGCGUGGGAUUCUCUUGUCACGGCAUGCAAAGGUGUAUAAACUCUCCAUCGACAGUUCGAGCUUUUUCAAAUGGAGAAGUCCGAGUCGAUUUCUAACUAUUUCUCACGGAUGUUGCCCCUCGUCAAUCAAAUGAAGGCCGAUGGUGAGACUAUCACAGACCAAAAGAUUGUCGAGAAGAUUAUCCGAACAUCAACGUUGCAGUUCGAGUACAUCGUGACGUCUAUUGAGGAGUCUCGAGAUCUUUCCACCACGACGGUUGAUAAGUUGAUGGGCUCGUUGCAAGUCCACGAGCAGCGGCUCAAGGAGAAGAGCAAGAUGGUGGAGGAGACUUUACGGUGCUAGUUGGAGUUGCGGGAUGAGAAGAAGGUUUCUUGUAGUCUGAAGAAAGAGAAAGGGGGGUAAGAAAAGAGUUCUAGACAACGAAAGGACAAGUCGCAUGUUCAGUGUUACAAGUAUAAACAGUUCGGACUCUUCAAAGGGGAGUGUCACAACAAGAAGGCGGAAGGUUUGAAUGUACAAGCCAAGGUUGCGAGCUCCUGUGAUAGGGAUGACAAGGUUGACAAAGCCUUGUUGUUCACGUGUGAUGUAGCUGUGGAGAACCAAAAAAUUAUUUGGUACUUGGAUACGGGCUACAGUAAUCACAUGUGUGGUGUGAAGGAGCUAUUAUCGAACUUGAUAGUAGCUUCUGUUUGGAAGUCAAAUUCGGGAACAAUUCGAAGGUUCCUAUCAUGGGGAAGGUAACGAUCAACAUCAAAGCGAAGGAUGGGUGGGAUCAAUGCAUCUCUGUCGUGUAUUAUGUUCCUAGUCUUCAAUAGAAUCUCUUGAGCAUGGGACAAUUAUCCAAGCGUGGCUAUCACAUGGAGAUCAAGGAUGGGCUCUGUACGAUUCGGGACAGCAAGUGAGGCUUGAUUGCAAAGGUGAAAAUGACUGGCAAUCAUCUUUUUCCUUUGCAUAUUAAGUAUCUGCCUCGUGUUUCAAUGCUUCGGUGCAAGACUCCUCGUGGCUAUGACAGAAAAGCUCGGCCAUGUGAAUUUCGUUAGCUUGAAUUUGUUAUCACGCAAUAAGAUGGUGCUUCGACUACCCGAAAUUUUUCCCCCAAAGGAGAUAUGUGAGCCUAGUGUUGUUGGGAAGAAGAGUAGGAAUCUUUCCCUUUGGAGUCCGUCAUGGUGAGCCAAGAAGCAGCUGGAGUUAGCACACUCAGAUGUUCGUUUAUAUAAUUAAGGCGUUUUUCAAUGUCAUCCCUCUAAAGUGUCUAUAUCUUACAAUACAAAGGUAUAUAAAAUUGCUUUGGGCUUCGGUCCCAAAUUCACCAAAAUAGAGAAAUAUAUAAA
Non-coding RNA from Punica granatum (pomegranate), 4168 nucleotides. Lineage: Eukaryota; Viridiplantae; Streptophyta; Magnoliopsida; Myrtales; Lythraceae. The record is from RefSeq and is a predicted model, not a curated record.